AGGGGUCAAAGGAGCAAUCCGGUAAGGGUGGGCUCGCGUCCGAUUAGAUAGUUGGUGAGGUAAACGGCCCACCAAGUCGACGAUCGGUAGCCGACCUGAGAGGGUGAUCGGCCACAUUGGGACUGAGACACGGCCCAAACUCCUACGGGAGGCAGCAGUGGGGAAUAUUGGGCAAUGGGGGAACCCUGACCCAGCAACGCCGCGUGAGGGAAGAAGGUUUUCGGAUCGUAAACCUCUGUCCUUGGUGAAGAGGAAGAGACGGUAGCCAAGGAGGAAGCCCGGCUAACUACGUGCC
RNAcentral lists this ribosomal RNA (295 nucleotides) under uncultured bacterium. RNAcentral describes it as "partial 16S ribosomal RNA". It matches the Rfam family "Bacterial small subunit ribosomal RNA", at positions 196 to 509 of the family's 1533-position model. The record is from RNAcentral.